Molecule: non-coding RNA, 113 nt
Organism: Triticum aestivum (bread wheat)
Lineage: Eukaryota; Viridiplantae; Streptophyta; Magnoliopsida; Poales; Poaceae
Source: Rfam
CAAGUACUCUCUCCGUUCAGAAUUACUUGUCGCAGAAAUAGAUGUAUCUAGACGUAUUUUAGUUCUAGACACAUCCAUUUCCAAGAAGUAAUUCCGAACGGAGAGAGUAAUUC